Molecule: ribosomal RNA, 253 nt
Filed under: uncultured bacterium
Lineage: Bacteria
Description: partial 16S ribosomal RNA
Rfam family: Bacterial small subunit ribosomal RNA
Source: RNAcentral
UACGAAGGGGGCUAGCGUUGUUCGGAAUUACUGGGCGUAAAGGGCGCGUAGGCGGUACUUCAAGUCAGUCGUGAAAGCCCCGGGCUCAACCUGGGAACCGCGCUUGAGACUGGAGAACUAGAGUUCGGGAGAGGAUGGUGGAAUUCCCAGUGUAGAGGUGAAAUUCGUAGAUAUUGGGAAGAACACCGAUGGCGAAGGCAGCCAUCUGGACCGACACUGACGCUGAGGCGCGAAAGCGUGGGGAGCAAACAGG